UCCCUUUUAUACCCUUUUCAUUUUAAAGUUUACAAAAGGUGGCUAUGUAUAAAGCUUUCUCAAAUUUGUAUAAACCUAUAUUCCGAGAAUAUUCCAUGGCCCCUCAAAAUACAAACAAUGUGUAACCAUCUUUGUAGUACUUGGUACCUGAGAACCGAACAUGCUAUCCAGCUGGCCUGUUGAAAUCCCACAAACUCAUUUUCACAGCACAGGAAAGUGUUUGUCCAUACCUCAAGUAUCACUUCAAUCAUGCUCGAGCCCGCUUCUUCCCCUUGUUUUGCAGCGCAGAAGCACGAAAUCAGCUUGAAAUACAAAGAUGUCACACCCUGUCCAAAGAUCACAUUGCCAAGGUGAGAAUCUCAACACUCUAGAAUCCUCAAGUCUCACCUCCCGCGAGAAUUCCAGGCAACAACAGCCAUGGACAAGUUCCUCCAAAGCGUCGACUCGAAUCCCCAUAGACGAGACGCA
Molecule: long non-coding RNA, 468 nt
Filed under: Selaginella moellendorffii
Lineage: Eukaryota; Viridiplantae; Streptophyta; Lycopodiopsida; Selaginellales; Selaginellaceae
Description: long non-coding RNA (SMOE_LNC000692)
Source: RNAcentral